GAAAACUAUGGGGAUUGGUGGGUUGGAAAGCUUUUCCCUUCUGAUUGAUUAAACGCUUUCCAAUUCCACCCAUUCCUAUGGUUUUUCA
This 88-nucleotide microRNA precursor is filed under the name Nicotiana tabacum (common tobacco). RNAcentral describes it as "miR482c stem-loop (nta-MIR482c)". Its record names the gene nta-MIR482c. Lineage: Eukaryota; Viridiplantae; Streptophyta; Magnoliopsida; Solanales; Solanaceae. The record is from miRBase by way of RNAcentral.